UAGGUCAGUAUUCGUGCUACGCA
This 23-nucleotide non-coding RNA is filed under the name Arabidopsis thaliana (thale cress). Lineage: Eukaryota; Viridiplantae; Streptophyta; Magnoliopsida; Brassicales; Brassicaceae. The record is from RNAcentral.